CACAGAUUUGCAUGUUCUCAGAAAAUGUUAUUUGCCUCUUAGAGAAAAAAAAAGAGAGCAAAAUACAUAUGAGAAAAUGCAAAGAGUUACUAGAAAUUC
Non-coding RNA from Xyrichtys novacula (pearly razorfish), 99 nucleotides. NCBI's taxonomy places the organism in Eukaryota, Metazoa, Chordata, Actinopteri, Labriformes, Labridae. The record is from the annotation of a GenBank genome assembly.